UCCUUCGGGAUUAGUGGCGGACGGGUGAGUAACACGUGGGAACGUACCCUUUGGUUCGGAACAACCCAGGGAAACUUGGGCUAAUACCGAAUAAGCCCUUACGGGGAAAGAUUUAUCGCCGAAGGAUCGGCCCGCGUCUGAUUAGCUAGUUGGUGAGGUAACGGCUCACCAAGGCGACGAUCAGUAGCUGGUCUGAGAGGAUGAUCAGCCUCACUGGGACUGAGACACGGCCCAGACUCCUACGGGAGGCAGCAGUGGGGAAUAUUGGACAAUGGGCGCAAGCCUGAUCCAGCCAUGCCGCGUGGGUGAUGAAGGCCCUAGGG
RNAcentral lists this ribosomal RNA (323 nucleotides) under uncultured bacterium. RNAcentral describes it as "bacterial SSU rRNA". It matches the Rfam family "Bacterial small subunit ribosomal RNA", at positions 82 to 422 of the family's 1533-position model. The record is from RNAcentral.